Molecule: non-coding RNA, 207 nt
Organism: Pelobates cultripes (western spadefoot toad)
Lineage: Eukaryota; Metazoa; Chordata; Amphibia; Anura; Pelobatidae
Source: the annotation of a GenBank genome assembly
CAGACACAUACACAAACACACACAUACAGUCAGACACAAACACACACACACACACAGAUACAAACACACACACACAGUCAGACACACACACACAUACAGUCAGACACAAACACACACAGUCAGACACAAACACACACAGUCAGACACAAACACACAGACAAACACACACACACACAGUCAGACACAUACACAGACACACACACACAC